AUGCAUGGCAAAAAUGCCUCACCGAGCCAAUCAGCAUCUACUCAUAGAGAUGCAUUUUCUCUCAAAAGGCAGUGUUUGCAUUGAAAACCCUGCAGGAAUAAGCUAUAGACACCAGAAUCACGAUAUUAAUUGUUGGAACAUGUACUGUCCUUGAUGAUCAGCAGAGCUAUCUGCCAUGGUCUUAUAGUUCUAACCAAACUGUGCCACGACCUCAAGUAUUUGGAGACACUCUUGAGAGACCAUACAAAGGAGUCUGAUUCAUAAAAUGUCCAAAAUUUAUUGAACAGAACACCGCUUAUAAAUCUUAUGCAAUAAGGGGGGGUCUAGUGGGAGUAUCAUUAAUUACCAAUCAAAUAUUGACAACUAUUAACUAACAGCAUGGAAAGGUUGUGCAGACAGCAUAAAAUAUGCAACAAAUUGAUUCUAAG
Non-coding RNA from Pelobates cultripes (western spadefoot toad), 428 nucleotides. Lineage: Eukaryota; Metazoa; Chordata; Amphibia; Anura; Pelobatidae. The record is from the annotation of a GenBank genome assembly.